AACUUCUGGGCUCAAGCAAUCCUCCCACCUCAGCCUCCAGAAUAGCUGGGACUAUAAGUGUGGAUCAUCAACCCUGGCUAAUUUUUUGAUUUUUUAUAGAGACGAGGUCUCACCAUGUUGCCCAGACAAGUCUUUAACUCCUGGGCUCAAGCAAUCCUCCCACCUCAGCCUCCUAAAGUGCCGGGAUUACAGGCAUGAGCCACUGUGCCUGACUUCCAGAUUUGCAUCUUAAAGGGCUGUUCCAUUGAAUGUCUGUUCUAACACGUGCCAUUUGGGAUCCCUUGGAAUCUUCAUGUACAGAACUGGUUGCUGCCUCGUUGAGUCGGUGGGGACAGAAUAGCUCCUGGUUGACAGCAUGGGUUGUGCAGAAGGACGGAUCCUGCAGACAUCAAUAUCUGGCUUUGAGUGGCACAAAGAAAUAAAGGAAUGUGGAUUCAGACCUCACUGGGAUGCUUGGCAAUUCUAAUUCUACCCCAGACUGCAAAUGGACACACAACUGUUGUGACUUUUGUUGAAGAGGAGAAGGAUGGGUGAGCAUGUGACGUUGGGAAAUUGUAUUUUCUUCUUCGAGUUCUUCUGUUUCCGAAUAUUUAAUCCUACUGUUUUCUUCUUUAGUGAAGGUCUCUUUAGUCAAUAAUCUCUUUGCUGAAAUUGCUUCGGGCAGCACAGAAGCUGGAUUCAGAAGCACACAGGUCUGGGGAUGCAGGCUUCGGCCAGCCUGAUGCAAGGAAAGACUGCCAUCUCGUGGUCAGCUCAAUCCUGGCACCUUGGUGAGGGACCAGGCUGCAGAAAACCAGGCUUGGGGAGGAAACGGUGCUGCAAACUGGAUUUCUGCCGGACAGUGUGGAUGCCCUUAGAAAACACCCAGAAAAGAGCUGAGUGCCCCCCAAGGUAGGCUUCAGUGAAUCCUCUGCAGGUGUGUUGUCAUCCCUUGAGCCAAACACAUGCUUCACACACACGCUGCAGGCUGCGUGAAAAUGAGGUAGAAAUGUGGGGAAAACAUAAUCCCAUGGAGAGAACAAAGAGCUGAACACGUAAAUGCCUCCGGCGUGCCUGGCAGAGAGAACACUCAGGCUGAGAGAAGGGACAGUGACUUGUACCAAAGGUAGGCAAGUAGCCUCUGGGGUCUCAAUCAGCAGGGCAUCUGGUCAACCCUUCAGACAAAGUCAGGUCUGAGCAGGCAAG
Molecule: long non-coding RNA, 1185 nt
Filed under: Homo sapiens (human)
Lineage: Eukaryota; Metazoa; Chordata; Mammalia; Primates; Hominidae
Description: non-protein coding LINC01727:23
Source: RNAcentral